RNAcentral lists this ribosomal RNA (276 nucleotides) under uncultured Anaerolineaceae bacterium. RNAcentral describes it as "partial 16S ribosomal RNA". It matches the Rfam family "Bacterial small subunit ribosomal RNA", at positions 1094 to 1382 of the family's 1533-position model. Lineage: Bacteria; Bacillati; Chloroflexota; Anaerolineae; Anaerolineales; Anaerolineaceae. The record is from RNAcentral.
GAGCGCAACCCUCGCUGUGUGUUACAAGUGUCACACGGAACUGCCGGUCAUAAACCGGAGGAAGGUGGGGAUGACGUCAAGUCAGCAUGGCCUUUAUAUCCUGGGCUACACACACGCUACAAUGGGAAGGGACAAUAGGUUGCGAAGCCGCGAGGCGGAGCCAAUCCAGCAAAACUUCCCUCAGUUCAGAUUGCAGGCUGCAACUCGCCUGCAUGAAGUUGGAGUUGCUAGUAAACGCAGGUCAGCCAUACUGCGUUGAAUACGUUCCCGGGGCUU